Molecule: ribosomal RNA, 634 nt
Filed under: Penicillium daejeonium
Lineage: Eukaryota; Fungi; Ascomycota; Eurotiomycetes; Eurotiales; Aspergillaceae
Description: eukaryotic LSU rRNA
Rfam family: Eukaryotic large subunit ribosomal RNA
Source: RNAcentral
UUGACCUCGGAUCAGGUAGGGAUACCCGCUGAACUUAAGCAUAUCAAUAAGCGGAGGAAAAGAAACCAACAGGGAUUGCCCCAGUAACGGCGAGUGAAGCGGCAAGAGCUCAAAUUUGAAAGCUGGCUCCUUCGGGGUCCGCAUUGUAAUUUGCAGAGGAUGUUUCGGGAGCGGCCCCCAUCUAAGUGUCCUGGAACGGACCGUCAUAGAGGGUGAGAAUCCCGUAUGGGAUGGGGUGCCCGCGCCCAUGUGAAACUCCUUCGACGAGUCGAGUUGUUUGGGAAUGCAGCUCUAAAUGGGUGGUAAAUUUCAUCUAAAGCUAAAUAUUGGCCGGAGACCGAUAGCGCACAAGUAGAGUGAUCGAAAGAUGAAAAGCACUUUGAAAAGAGAGUUAAAAAGCACGUGAAAUUGUUGAAAGGGAAGCGUUUGCGAUCAGACUCGCCGACGGGGUUCAGCCUGCCUUCGGGCAGGUGUACUUCCCCGCCGGCGGGCCAGCGUCGGUUUGGGCGGCCGGUCAAAGGCUCUGGGAAUGUAACGCCUCUCGGGGCGUCUUAUAGCCCAGGGUGUCAUGCGGCCUGCCCGGACCGAGGAACGCGCUUCGGCUCGGACGCUGGCAUAAUGGUCGUAAACGACC